AAUGAGUUGUGAUCCUGGCUCAGGAUAGAACGCUAGCGGCAGGCUUAUAUACAUGCAAGUCGAGGAGGCAGCACGGGUAGCAAUACCUGCGUGGCGACCGGCGCACGGGUGCGUAACGCGUAUGUAAUCCUACCAUUAACCGGAGGCUGCCAGAGAAAUCUGGAUUAAUGCCCCAUAGUAUUAUCGAAAGGCAUCUAUUUGAUAAUUAAAGCUCAGGCGGUUUAGUUGAUGAACAUGCGUGUCAUUAGUUUGUUGGUGAGGUAACGGCUCACCAAGGCUACGAUGUCUAGGCCUUCUGAGAGGAUGAUCCUAGCACUGGUACUGAGACACGGUCCAGACUCCUACGGGAGGCAGCAGUGGGGAAUCUUCCGCAAUGGGCGAAAGCCUGAACCAGCCAUGCCGCGUGCAGGAAGACUGCCCUAUGGGUUGUAAACUGCUGCUAUACAGGAAGAAACACUCGGACGUGUCCGAGCUUGACGGUACCGUAGGAAUAAGCAUCGGCUAACUCCGUGCCAGCAGCCGCGGUAAUACGGAGCAAGCGUUAUCCGGAUUCAUUGGGUUUAAAGGGUGCGUAGGCGGCUAGAUAAGUCAGUGGUGAAAUCCUGCCGCUUAACGGUAGAAUUGCCAUUGAUACUGAAAAGCUUGAGUACAUUUGAGGUAAGCGGAAUGUGUAGUGUAGCGCCUCAAUGCUUAGAUAUUACACAGAACACCAAUUGCGAAGGCAGCUUACUAAACUGAUACUGACGCUGAUGCACGAAAGCGUGCCUAGCGAACAGGAUUAGAUACCCUGGUAGUCCACGCCGUAAACGAUGCUCACUCGCUGUUUGCGAUACACAGCAACAUUCCAAGCGAAAGCAUUAAGUAUCCCGCCUGGGGAGUACGGUCGCAAGGCUGAAACUCCUGGAAUUGACGCCAGCCCGCACAAGCGGAGGAACAUGUGGUAGAAUUCGAUGAUACGCGAGGAACCUUACCUGGGCUUAAAUGUAGAGCGACAGAUUGUGACUGCGAGGGGUCCGAUCGGACCCUCUAACAACGGUGCUGCAUGGUUGUCGUCAGCUCGUGCCGUGAGGUGUCGGCGUUAAGUCCCAUAAUCGAGCGCAACCAGUAUCGUUAGUUGCCAGCGGGUCAAGCCUAGCGAGACUGCCACCGUAAGGUGUGAGGAAGGUGGCCUGACGUCAAAUCAGCACGGCCCUUAUGUCCAGGGCUACACACGUGUUACAAUGGCCGAUACAAACGGGCAGCUACCAGGUGACUGGAUGCUAAUCUCCAAAGUCGGUCUCAGUUCGGAUUCGAAGUCUGCAACCGCGACUUCGUGACCUUGGAUUCGCUAGUAAUCGCAUACAUCAUGAUGCGGUGAAUACGUUCCCGGGCCUUGUACACGUACCCGUCAAACAAUGGAAGCUGGGGGUACCUGAAGUCUGUAACCGCAAGGAGCGGCCUAGUAGAAACUAGUAACUGGGCGCUAAGUCGUAACCAASGGUAAACCGU
Molecule: ribosomal RNA, 1488 nt
Filed under: uncultured Sunxiuqinia sp.
Lineage: Bacteria; Pseudomonadati; Bacteroidota; Bacteroidia; Marinilabiliales; Prolixibacteraceae
Description: bacterial SSU rRNA
Rfam family: Bacterial small subunit ribosomal RNA
Source: RNAcentral